Molecule: transfer RNA, 19 nt
Filed under: Allobates femoralis (brilliant-thighed poison frog)
Lineage: Eukaryota; Metazoa; Chordata; Amphibia; Anura; Aromobatidae
Description: partial tRNA-Phe
Source: RNAcentral
CUAAAGUUCUCCAAACAUA